GUAGGUGGCAAGCGUUGUCCGGAAUUAUUGGGCGUAAAGCGCGCGCAGGCGGUCCUUUAGGUCUGAUGUGAAAGCCCACGGCUCAACCGUGGAGGGUCAUUGGAAACUGGGGGACUUGAGUACAGAAGAGGAAAGCGGAAUUCCAAGUGUAGCGGUGAAAUGCGUAGAGAUUUGGAGGAACACCAGUGGCGAAGGCGGCUUUCUGGUCUGUAACUGACGCUGAGGCGCGAAAGCGUGGGGAGCAAACAGGAUUAGAUACCCUGGUAGUCCACGCCGUAAACGAUGAGUGCUAAGUGUUAGGGGGUUUCCCGCCCCCUUAGUGCUGCAGCUAACGCAUUAAGCACUCCGCCUGGGGGAGUACGGCCCGCAAGGCUG
This 375-nucleotide ribosomal RNA is filed under the name uncultured organism. RNAcentral's name for it is "partial 16S ribosomal RNA". It matches the Rfam family "Bacterial small subunit ribosomal RNA", at positions 527 to 896 of the family's 1533-position model. The record is from RNAcentral.